UACGUAGGGUGCGAGCGUUGUCCGGAAUUAUUGGGCGUAAAGGGCUCGUAGGCGGUUUGUCGCGUCGGGAGUGAAAACAUUCAGCUUAACUGGGUGCUUGCUUUCGAUACGGGCAGACUAGAGGUAUGCAGGGGAGAACGGAAUUCCUGGUGUAGCGGUGAAAUGCGCAGAUAUCAGGAGGAACACCGGUGGCGAAGGCGGUUCUCUGGGCAUGAUCUGACGCUGAGGAGCGAAAGUGUGGGGAGCGAACA
Molecule: ribosomal RNA, 251 nt
Filed under: uncultured prokaryote
Description: partial 16S ribosomal RNA
Rfam family: Bacterial small subunit ribosomal RNA
Source: RNAcentral